GCCUUCGUGGUGCAAAGGUCAGCACACUCGACGCGUAAUCGAGACAUCUGAGGUUCGAGUCCCAGCGAGGGCA
This 73-nucleotide transfer RNA is filed under the name Stegodyphus mimosarum. It matches the Rfam family "tRNA". Rfam says of the family: Transfer RNA (tRNA) molecules are approximately 80 nucleotides in length. The record is from Rfam by way of RNAcentral. Lineage: Eukaryota; Metazoa; Arthropoda; Arachnida; Araneae; Eresidae.